Molecule: small RNA, 872 nt
Filed under: Pan troglodytes (chimpanzee)
Lineage: Eukaryota; Metazoa; Chordata; Mammalia; Primates; Hominidae
Description: processed transcript
Source: RNAcentral
CUACUUUGGGGGAUGAGGUGGGAGGAUCUCUUAGGCCUGGGAGGUGGAGAUUGCAGUGAGCCGAGAUCACACCAUGGCACUCCAGUCUAGGUGAAAGAUUGAGACCCCAUCUCAAAAAAAAAAAAACAAAAAAGAAAAAAGUAGAAUUUAGGUAUUCCUACUUUUACAGUCAAAAGUCCACUGGUGUUUGCAUAACAAUGAUGUUUUGACUAGUUAUUGGACUAAAAAUAGGACACAUGAAGCAGGUGACUAGGAAUUUGGAAAUAUUAUUGCUUAGGUCAUUACUGGACCUUACGAAGAGAUUGAUGCACUGGUGACUUGGACUUUGCUGGUCCCUCCCCGACUCUUCACAGCUGGCUCGACGACUCUUGUGACAUUCUGAGGUUUUAUGCUAAACCACAGGACAUGCUGCUGAUUUGCAGAGCUGACCUCAGCUGUGACUUCUGGGGGAACAGAAAGCAUACUGAUGGCCUGCAAAGCAUAUCGGGAUCUGGCCUUUGAGAAGGGGAUCAAAACUCCAGAAAUAGUUGGAAGGGGCCACUGAGCUGAUGCUUGGCCGCUGUGUGAACAUUUCUGCUUGAACAUGUGUUGUGCCGGGAAGCCUUCUUCUCAUUCUCACUGAGUGUGGCUCCCCAAAGUGCCCAUGCUGCAUUUAACAAAGCAGCCAGUUACUUUGGGAUGAAGAUUGUGCGGGUCCCAUUGACGAAGAUGAUGGAGGUGGAUGUGCGGGCAAUGAGAAGAGCUAUCUCCAGGAACACUGCCAUGCUCGUCUGUUCUACCCCACAGUUUCCUCAUGGUGUAAUAGAUCCUGUCCCUGAAGUGGCCAAGCUGGCUGUCAAAUACAAAAUACCCCUUCAUGUCGACGCUUGUCU